AUGUUUGAGUAAUCGCUGCAACUUUGUUGUAGAGGAAAGUCCAUGCUCGCACAGUCUGAGAUGACUGUAGUGUUCGUGCCUAGCGAAGUCAUAAGCUAGGGUAGCCUGGUUUUUACUGGGCUAACGGCAGGGAAAACACCUAAGUGCCGCUUUUAGUUGCAUAUGGUGUGAAUACCUUGAAAGUGCCACAGUGACGGAGUCUGUCUAGAAAUGGGCAGGGUGGAACGAGGUAAACCCCACGAGCGAGAAACCCAAAAUUAGGUAGGGGCAUCCCCAAGAAGGAACUAAACGGAAUGGGGAACAGACAGCUUUGUCUGUAGACAGAUGAUUACUGCUUCUUGUACGAGGGGUGACACCCGCUUGCAGUACGGAAGUACAGAACAUGGCUUACAAAA
This 395-nucleotide RNase P RNA is filed under the name Evansella vedderi. RNAcentral's name for it is "RNase P class B". It matches the Rfam family "Bacterial RNase P class B". Rfam says of the family: Ribonuclease P (RNase P) is a ubiquitous endoribonuclease, found in archaea, bacteria and eukarya as well as chloroplasts and mitochondria. Its best characterised activity is the generation of mature 5'-ends of tRNAs by cleaving the 5'-leader elements of precursor-tRNAs. The record is from RNAcentral. Lineage: Bacteria; Bacillati; Bacillota; Bacilli; Caryophanales; Bacillaceae.